AUCGCUUCUCGGCAACUUUGUUGCUAAGAUCAAAGUGUAGUAUCUGUUCUUAUCAGCUUAAUAUCUGAUACAGUCCUCAUAGAGGACUCAGAAUAUUAAACUGAUUUUUGAACCUAGGGGAGGUCUGGAGCUUGCUCCGACCACUCCACAGGUCGACUCGGCUUUGCAGUGCUGCUGAGUUUGGCCUAAUAAUA
Temnothorax curvispinosus is the source of this 194-nucleotide small nuclear RNA. RefSeq annotates it as U2 spliceosomal RNA. Lineage: Eukaryota; Metazoa; Arthropoda; Insecta; Hymenoptera; Formicidae. The transcript has a single exon. The record is from RefSeq and is a predicted model, not a curated record.